Molecule: non-coding RNA, 1684 nt
Organism: Camelina sativa (false flax)
Lineage: Eukaryota; Viridiplantae; Streptophyta; Magnoliopsida; Brassicales; Brassicaceae
Source: RefSeq, a predicted model, not a curated record
UGCGGGUGAUUCAAGCCAUCAAUCUCCUCCCUCCCAGAUAAGUUUUCUUUCUUCCUCAUUGUUUUAUUUCUUAUUUGUACUGUUGUCUGUUUUGAUUCCAUCACUUUACUUGUACCUGCUACUGCUUCAUUCCAAUCUACCUUUUGUUUUCCUUUGAUGUUUAUUUCCUGAAUCUUCUCCUUUGUGUGUAGGUUUGCUUCCUCCUGAGACGCUUGUGUGUGAUCUCUCUCAAUUGAUCCUCUUCGGGUUGGGUUUUGCACUACGCCAAGUUUACAUCGGAGAUAUUUGAACCGCUUUGUCUCGAGUGGUUUGGAUUCUUCCCAAUAGCUAUGGUUUAUGUGUUAUCGCAAUAGAUUGGAACUGCCUUGGUGGUGUCGACUCUCAUUUCUCCCAACAGUCUCUUCAACCAUACUGCAUGAUUGGUGGCCGCACACAACGCCAUAUACUCUGCUUCUGCUGUAGAUUGUGCAAUGGUGUCUUGCUUUUGUGUUUGCCAAGUAAACACAGCACUUCCCAAGGUUUUGUUCAGUAGGUUUCGAUAGACUCCUAGACAAGUAAGAUGCAGCAAAAGCAAGGUCAGGCCGAGUUGCUCCAAGAGGUGUGCUCAUAGGAUUACAGCUCCUCAUUCCAAAAUUUUCCAACAACUGCUGCGCAUACUUCCUUUGGCUCAGAAACACUCCCUUUUCUGUGUUCCACUUAUGCUGGGAGGCCAAGGCAAUUAUAGUUCUGAUUGUGUCAUGCCUGGAUACUGGAGCAAACGUUUCACCAUAAUCUUCUCCAUACGUUUGGGUUUCCUUACCAGCUCCCAUGUAUCAUUCUCGUUGAUGAUGUAAAUUUCAUCAUCCAUAGCAAUCCUCCAUUCCUUGCUGUUUAUAGCUUCUUCAAAGUCUUCUGACUUUGUGAACAAUUCGCGAAGAGCUCCCAGACUCAGUUUCUCCUUCACUUAGUUGAAACGGUAUCCACACAUGACAAACGCAGCCGAAAACCUUGAGAUGGCCCACAGAGGGUUUGUGACCACUCCAGACCUCAAGUGGUGUUUUCUAGUUUAGAGCUUUGGUGGGGAGUCUAUUUUGAAGAUAAGUUGCUUUAAAUAUCGUUUCAGCCCAUAACACAUCUGGCAUUCCUUUAUCUCUUAACAUGCUUCUUGCCAUGUCCAACAACGUCCGGUUUCUGCGUUCAGCAACACCAUUCUGCUGUGUUUGAGUUUCCACCAUACUCUUGAACAAGGUGGCAAAUGUAUUUGACUUCAGUCUCAGAAAGUACACCCACAACAUGUGUGAAAAAUCAUCUGUAAAAGUUGUGGAAGCCAGAAUGUCCCAGACGUUUAUGCCAAAGUUCUGACAAGUUUUCUUGUUUGGCCAUUCUUACACUCUCCUCAGCUAACUGCAUUCGCAACAAACUUUCUUCUUUGGUCAUGUGGCUCGUGGCACCACUGUCUAUUAACCAGAUUUCAUCACUGUUGGUUCUCCACAGGCAAAACAACCUUUCCUUGGUCUAAAUUGCUUGCUAAAGAACUGAGAUUCAUAGUUUUGAGAAAGAAUCACGCUCACCGGAAUCGACCGUGCUCUGAUACCAUGUUCAUAAUUACUGUUUAGCAGCCUCUCAUCUCUUAUCUUAAAGCUUUCUUGACAUUCAUUACACACCUUACAACAUAUUUAUACUUAGGUUAAGCUUUUAACCUAUA